AGAGCUCGUAGGCGGUUUGUCGCGUCUGCUGUGAAAUCCCGAGGCUCAACCUCGGGCUUGCAGUGGGUACGGGCAGACUAGAGUGCGGUAGGGGAGAUUGGAAUUCCUGGUGUAGCGGUGGAAUGCGCAGAUAUCAGGAGGAACACCGAUGGCGAAGGCAGAUCUCUGGGCCGUAACUGACGCUGAGGAGCGAAAGCGUGGGGAGCGAACAGGAUUAGAUACCCUGGUAGUCCACGCCGUAAACGUUGGGCGCUAGAUGUAGGGACCUUUCCACGGUUUCUGUGUCGUAGCUAACGCAUUAAGCGCCCCGCCUGGGGAGUACGGCCGCAAGGCUAAAACUCAAAGGAAUUGACGGGGG
RNAcentral lists this ribosomal RNA (358 nucleotides) under Curtobacterium sp. RNAcentral describes it as "bacterial SSU rRNA". It matches the Rfam family "Bacterial small subunit ribosomal RNA", at positions 564 to 919 of the family's 1533-position model. Lineage: Bacteria; Bacillati; Actinomycetota; Actinomycetes; Micrococcales; Microbacteriaceae. The record is from RNAcentral.